Molecule: ribosomal RNA, 114 nt
Filed under: Fukomys damarensis (Damara mole-rat)
Lineage: Eukaryota; Metazoa; Chordata; Mammalia; Rodentia; Bathyergidae
Source: RNAcentral
CGAUGGCCGUACCACCCUGAGCAUGCCCAGUCUCAUCUGAUCUUGGAAGUUAAGCAGGGUCGGCCCUGGUUAGUACUUGGAUGGGAGUUAUCUGGAAACAAAGCAUAGCAAAGU